UACGUAGGGUGCAAGCGUUGUCCGGAAUUAUUGGGCGUAAAGAGCUCGUAGGCGGUUUGUCGCGUCGGCUGUGAAAACCUGGGGCUCAACCCCGGGCCUGCAGCCGAUACGGGCAAACUAGAAUUCGGUAGGGGAGACUGGAAUUCCUGGUGUAGCGGUGAAAUGCGCAGAUAUCAGGAGGAACACCGGUGGCGAAGGCGGUUCUCUGGGCAUUACCUGACGCUGAGGAGCGAAAGUGUGGGGAGCGAACAGG
This 253-nucleotide ribosomal RNA is filed under the name uncultured bacterium. RNAcentral's name for it is "partial 16S ribosomal RNA". It matches the Rfam family "Bacterial small subunit ribosomal RNA", at positions 524 to 776 of the family's 1533-position model. The record is from RNAcentral.